Molecule: ribosomal RNA, 497 nt
Filed under: uncultured bacterium
Lineage: Bacteria
Description: partial 16S ribosomal RNA
Rfam family: Bacterial small subunit ribosomal RNA
Source: RNAcentral
GAUGAACGCUGGCGGCGUGCCUAAUACAUGCAAGUCGAGCGAACGGACGAGAAGCUUGCUUCUCUGAUGUUAGCGGCGGACGGGUGAGUAACACGUGGAUAACCUACCUAUAAGACUGGGAUAACUUCGGGAAACCGGAGCUAAUACCGGAUAAUAUUUUGAACCGCAUGGUUCAAAAGUGAAAGACGGUCUUGCUGUCACUUAUAGAUGGAUCCGCGCUGCAUUAGCUAGUUGGUAAGGUAACGGCUUACCAAGGCAACGAUGCAUAGCCGACCUGAGAGGCUGAGCGGCCACACUGGCACUGAGACACGGUCCAGACGCCUACGGUAGGCAGCAGUAGGGAAUCUUCCGCAAUGGGCGAAAGCCUGACGGAGCGACGCCGCGUGGGUGAUGAAGGUCUUCGGAUCGUAAAACUCUGUUAUUAGGGAAGAACAUAUGUGUAAGUAACUGUGCACAUCUUGACGGUACCUAAUCAGAAAGCCACGGCUAACUACGUG